UACGUAGGGAGCAAGCGUUGUCCGGAAUCAUUGGGCGUAAAGCGCGCGUAGGCGGCCCUGUAAGUCCGCUGUGAAAGUCAAAGGCUCAACCUUUGAAAGCCGGUGGAUACUGCAGGGCUAGAGUCCGGAAGAGGCGAGUGGAAUUCCUGGUGUAGCGGUGGAAUGCGCAGAUAUCAGGAGGAACACCAAUGGCGAAGGCAGCUCGCUGGGACGUGACUGACGCUGAGACGCGAAAGCGUGGGGAGCAAACAGG
RNAcentral lists this ribosomal RNA (253 nucleotides) under uncultured bacterium. RNAcentral describes it as "partial 16S ribosomal RNA". It matches the Rfam family "Bacterial small subunit ribosomal RNA", at positions 524 to 776 of the family's 1533-position model. The record is from RNAcentral.